GGCGGUGUGGCAGCCCGUCGCGGUGUGGC
This 29-nucleotide small RNA is filed under the name Bombyx mori (domestic silkworm). Its description in RNAcentral is "ovarian small RNA-17444". The record is from RNAcentral. Lineage: Eukaryota; Metazoa; Arthropoda; Insecta; Lepidoptera; Bombycidae.